GUCUGGUUGGCUCAGUCGGUUGAGCGCCUGACUUCGGCUCAGGUCAUGAUCUCAUGGUCUGUGAGUUCGAGCCCUGCGUCAGGCU
RNAcentral lists this transfer RNA (85 nucleotides) under Felis catus (domestic cat). It matches the Rfam family "tRNA". Rfam says of the family: Transfer RNA (tRNA) molecules are approximately 80 nucleotides in length. Lineage: Eukaryota; Metazoa; Chordata; Mammalia; Carnivora; Felidae. The record is from Rfam by way of RNAcentral.